Molecule: ribosomal RNA, 565 nt
Filed under: Lactobacillus gasseri
Lineage: Bacteria; Bacillati; Bacillota; Bacilli; Lactobacillales; Lactobacillaceae
Description: bacterial SSU rRNA
Rfam family: Bacterial small subunit ribosomal RNA
Source: RNAcentral
CCCCUCUCUCCGGGGGGGGGGCGGAGUUGGGAAUCUUUCACAAUGGACGCAAGUCUGAUGGAGCAACGCCGCGUGAGUGAAGAAGGGUUUCGGCUCGUAAAGCUCUGUUGGUAGUGAAGAAAGAUAGAGGUAGUAACUGGCCUUUAUUUGACGGUAAUUACUUAGAAAGUCACGGCUAACUACGUGCCAGCAGCCGCGGUAAUACGUAGGUGGCAAGCGUUGUCCGGAUUUAUUGGGCGUAAAGCGAGUGCAGGCGGUUCAAUAAGUCUGAUGUGAAAGCCUUCGGCUCAACCGGAGAAUUGCAUCAGAAACUGUUGAACUUGAGUGCAGAAGAGGAGAGUGGAACUCCAUGUGUAGCGGUGGAAUGCGUAGAUAUAUGGAAGAACACCAGUGGCGAAGGCGGCUCUCUGGUCUGCAACUGACGCUGAGGCUCGAAAGCAUGGGUAGCGAACAGGAUUAGAUACCCUGGUAGUCCAUGCCGUAAACGAUGAGUGCUAAGUGUUGGGAGGUUUCCGCCUCUCAGUGCUGCAGCUAACGCAUUAAGCACUCCGCCUGGGAGUUCACA